GGCAGAGAAGCGAUGACAGCCUGAGUCAGGACCAUGGUCUGUUGGCUCAGUGUAAACAGGCAGCCCCUUUCUACCGGAAUGUGGAAAUUAAAGUUAGCUGUCUCUAAUUGAAGCAGAUCAGCCAUGACAGCUGAAUUACUUGCUUACAAGGAAGUCUCGCUCCUUCAGCUGUAUGGCAGAGGUGAGAGUGAUGAGCUCUGUACAGCUCGGAAAACAGAACAUGAUUGCAAAAUCAAGAUAAUGUUCCAAAAGUGAGCCCGACACUGUAUGAAACCACGAAGACUGGGUCUGUCUGCUCCCACUGGGACCUGAACUACAGCUCUGCAGAAGCCCUCUGUGCUCCUUUGUUGUAGGGCUGGGUCUGUUUGCCCCACGGAUGCCUGCUCCCACCUGCCUCUGCCUUGCCCGCAGAGACACCACUCCUUCCCACGGAACUUCCCAACCAACGCCACCUUGUUCAACUCUGUUUGAUAAGAGCUUUCUUCUCUGCUGAAAGUGACUCUCUUUCUUCCUGUUCAGAAAGCUUGAGAGUUAGAAACAGGCUGGAUGACUACGGACUCGAAGUUUUUCUAUACCUAGUGCUGAGCCUACGAUAAUCAAAGCCAGCUACCUUAUGCUAGCAUUUCUCCUUACUCUGCAAAGCCUGUGUGCAUACAACUGCUAAAUAAAAAAAGAAAGGCAA
This is a long non-coding RNA of Grammomys surdaster, 682 nucleotides long. RefSeq lists it as uncharacterized. Lineage: Eukaryota; Metazoa; Chordata; Mammalia; Rodentia; Muridae. The record is from RefSeq and is a predicted model, not a curated record. The transcript is spliced from 3 exons.